GAGUUUGAUCAUGGCUCAGAUUGAACGCUGGCGGUAUGCUUAACACAUGCAAGUCGAACGGUAACAGGCCUUCGGGCGCUGACGAGUGGCGGACGGGUGAGUAACGCGUAGGAAUCUGCCUCAUAGUGGGGGACAACGUGGGGAAACUCACGCUAAUACCGCAUACGCCCUCGGGGGAAAAGCGGGGGAUCUUCGGACCUCGCGCUAUGAGAUGAGCCUGCGUUAGAUUAGCUAGUUGGUAGGGUAAAGGCCUACCAAGGCGACGAUCUAUAGCUGGUCUGAGAGGACGAUCAGCCACACUGGGACUGAGACACGGCCCAGACUCCUACGGGAGGCAGCAGUGGGGAAUAUUGGACAAUGGGCGCAAGCCUGAUCCAGCAAUACCGCGUGUGUGAAGAAGGCCUUAAGGUUGUAAAGCACUUUCAAUUGGGAGGAAAACCUGCCGGUCAAUACCCGGUAGCUUGACAUUACCUUUAGAAGAAGCACCGGCUAACUCCGUG
This 500-nucleotide ribosomal RNA is filed under the name uncultured bacterium. Its description in RNAcentral is "bacterial SSU rRNA". It matches the Rfam family "Bacterial small subunit ribosomal RNA", at positions 9 to 507 of the family's 1533-position model. The record is from RNAcentral.